Molecule: long non-coding RNA, 677 nt
Filed under: Piliocolobus tephrosceles (Ugandan red Colobus)
Lineage: Eukaryota; Metazoa; Chordata; Mammalia; Primates; Cercopithecidae
Description: lncRNA (ENSPTEG00000017380.1)
Source: RNAcentral
GGUCCCUCAGCCCCUCAGUGCCCUCCCGGAGCCCUUUACCUGAAAGGGACCCUGAGAGAACGGACGACAGGAGCCGAGUCGAAAGCAGUGUCCGCGCCGGAGGUCAGCGCCGAAGGCGGGCCCCGGCGUCUAGGGACCACAGAGCGGCGACGCGGCCAGCCGCGCACGGGCCAUUCCGCCGCCGCGAACGCAGAAAGCCUCGAUCGCGCUCCGAGUCCAGCCAGCUCGCCUGUCACCUCGAUCUCUGCUUUAAGUGGCUUCCGGUCGCCUCCUCCCGACGGCCGGUCGCGGAGGCGGAGCCUAGGAGGCCGGAGCGCGGUGGGGUGGGGUGAGGAGGCCGGGCGCUCAGUGGGUGCCGAGAAGAAGACCCGCCCCCUGCGCGCGCGUGCGCGUUCGUUCCAGGGGAGGUGCGCGGGUUGUGUGCCGUGGACUUGUAUUCCCGCGAGGGGGCGUGUCCUUUCUCGCGCCGGCGGUGUCCCCGCGGGUCCGCGUCUCCACGCGGCUGUGAGAAAGGAAGGCGUGUGCCGCGUGGGACGGGUUCCACCUGCCUGCGGACAGAUGAAUAAUAACAGGAUGGAGAUGGAGUUUCAUGACAAAAAGGAAGAGUGUUCAUUCCCUCAGGAAGAAGCAGAGUUUGAGACACCAUCUUGGAAGCGGAGACCUGGCCCUUGCUGGAC